CCUACGGGAGGCAGCAGUGGGGAAUAUUGGGCAAUGGCGGCAACUCUGACCCAGCAAAGCCGCGUGAAGGAAGAAGGUCUCAGGGUUGUAAACCUAUGUUGUAAAGGAAGAAAAGAAUGACGGUACUUUACAAGCAAGCCCCGGCUAACUAUGUGCCAGCAGCAGCGGUAAGCCAUAGGGGGCAAGCGUUGUUAGGAAUUACUGGGGGUAAAGGGAGCGUAGGCGGGAGAGUAAGUUAAGAGUGAAAGGCUUGGGCUCAACCCAAGAAAUGCUCUUAAUACUGGUUUUCUAGAGUGUGGGAGAGGUAAGUGGAAUUCCUAGUGCAGCGGUAGAAUGCGUAGAGAUUAGGAGGAACAUCAGAGGCGAAGGCGGCUUACUGGACCAUAACUGACGCUGAGGCUCGAAAGCGUGGGGAGCAAACAGGAUUAGAUACCCUGGUAGUC
Molecule: ribosomal RNA, 443 nt
Filed under: uncultured bacterium
Lineage: Bacteria
Description: partial 16S ribosomal RNA
Rfam family: Bacterial small subunit ribosomal RNA
Source: RNAcentral